GAAUUUGAGGGUCAGGGAUUAAGCUCAGCAGUUCAGUGGCCUGCCUUGCAAGCGUAAGGACCCUGGUACCAAAAAAAAAAAAAAAAAGGAAUUUGAAUAUUCCCACAACAAAGAAAUGAUAAAUAUCUGAGGUGAUAGACAUGCUAAUUGCCCUGAUCUGAUCAUUACAUGUUGCAUACAUGUAUUAAAAUGUUACACUGCAACCCAUGAAUAUGUAUAAUUACUGUGUCAGUUAAAAGUAAAAAUGUAUUUUUAAACUAGGUGUGUUGGUGCAUGCCUGUAAUCCCAGCUACUUAGGAGGCUGAGGCAGAAGGAUCAAAAGCACAACUUUGUGGCCAGUGUGAACAAUUAGAGAGAUCCAUCUCAAAAACAAAACAAACAAACAAACAGAAGAAACCAAACUAUCUCAAAAAAAGAAAGAAAAUCAUAAGGUUGGCCUGAAUUUUUACCCAGAUGCAGAAAAUGUGCCCCCCCACAUUUAAAGGGUUAACGGGAGAGAAAACUUAAUUUUCUAUAAUUCCCUACAUGAUACACAUGGUAGGCAUAUCAUACAGCAUGCUUGUUUAAUGUAACAAUUGUUCAAAGAAUGUACUGAUUUAUUAAUUUGCUUUACUAAGAAAGCUAGAAAUAGCGAUGUCGUUAAAAGAUAGACCCCAACCCUCAGAUGGUGGUAGGGUCCUGGAAGGAGUCAAGCCAAAGACCGAGAGGCCACCACUCCAGUCAGUCAGGCCUGGGGGAAUCAUCACGGAGGUCAGGCCUUUGUCACAGCCUGCAGCUGCUCGAAUGCCACCAGCCUAUUCCGAGGACGCCCUGAGGCUCGAGAUUCUGCCAGUUUGGCUCGGAUGGGAGAGAUGGAGAAUUACGCAGUUCUUGAUCCUGUCUAAGAAGAAAGAAAAAUUAGGCAUAUGGAACCAUGUGGUAAGUGAGAAAAUACUAUUUUUAUUUUUUUGUUUUUUGUUUUUUUUUUGGUACCAGGGUUCUAACUUAGGUCCCUGUGCUUGCAAAGCAGGCACUGGAACCACCGAGCUAAAUCCCAG
This 1037-nucleotide long non-coding RNA is filed under the name Fukomys damarensis (Damara mole-rat). RNAcentral describes it as "lncRNA (ENSFDAG00000029937.1)". Lineage: Eukaryota; Metazoa; Chordata; Mammalia; Rodentia; Bathyergidae. The record is from RNAcentral.